UGGUCAUUACCAAGGCUUUAAGAAUGCACUUUCUCAUUUGCUGUGGACAUGACCACAGCAAAUGUAGUUGUGUGCUACUUUGCUAGCAAUCAAUCUGUUGGGAACAUUU
Molecule: small nucleolar RNA, 109 nt
Organism: Nannospalax galili (Upper Galilee mountains blind mole rat)
Lineage: Eukaryota; Metazoa; Chordata; Mammalia; Rodentia; Spalacidae
Source: Ensembl